Small nuclear RNA from Peromyscus maniculatus bairdii (prairie deer mouse), 109 nucleotides. Lineage: Eukaryota; Metazoa; Chordata; Mammalia; Rodentia; Cricetidae. The record is from Ensembl.
GUACUCGCUUUAGGAGCACAUAUACUAAAGUAAUGGAAUGAUAUAGAGAUUAUUAGCAUGGCCCCUGCACAAGGAUGACACUCAAAUUUGUGAAGCAUUCUGUAUUUUU